This 494-nucleotide ribosomal RNA is filed under the name uncultured bacterium. RNAcentral describes it as "partial 16S ribosomal RNA". It matches the Rfam family "Bacterial small subunit ribosomal RNA", at positions 28 to 507 of the family's 1533-position model. The record is from RNAcentral.
GACGAACGCUGGCGGCGUGCUUGACACAUGCAAGUCGAACGGAAAGGCCUGCUUUCCCUUGUGGAUUGCGGGUACUCGAGUGGCGAACGGGUGAGUAACACGUGAGUGAUCUGCCCCCAACUUGGGUAUAAGCCUGGGAAACUGGGUCUAAUUCCCGAUAGGACUGCAGGGUGGUGCCUGUGGUGGAAAACGAUUUUCUAGUGGUUGGGGAUGAGCUCGCGGCCUAUCAGCUUGUUGGGGGGGUAAUGGCCUACCAAGGCGGCGACGGGUAGCCGGCCUGAGAGGGUGGACGGCCACAUUGGGACUGAGAUACGGCCCAGACUCCUACGGGAGGCAGCAGUGGGGAAUAUUGCACAAUGGGCGGAAGCCUGAUGCAGCGACGCCGCGUGGGGGAUGACGGCCUUCGGGUUGUAAACUCCUUUCGACCGCGAGGAAGCCACCUGGUUGGAAGGGUGGUGACGGUAGUGGUAGAAGAAGCACCGGCUAACUACGUG